CGCGUUCUGUCAUUUGGAGCUGCACAAUCGCUUCUCAAUGCAUCUUUUUGAUUCCUUGCUCAUACCAAACAUCAAAACUAAUAGAACUAGCAAUUAGAGACUAAAAUUGGAACUAAAUUGAGUAAAAUAAAGCUGAAAUGCAAUAAAUAAAUACGGUGCAAAGGAUAUAAAAUUGGGUUGCCUCCCAAUAAGCGCUCGUUUAGUGUCUUGAGCUUGACGUCUCAACU
This 227-nucleotide long non-coding RNA is filed under the name Cicer arietinum (chickpea). Its description in RNAcentral is "long non-coding RNA (CARI_LNC003341)". The record is from RNAcentral. Lineage: Eukaryota; Viridiplantae; Streptophyta; Magnoliopsida; Fabales; Fabaceae.